UUCUUCUAUUUGAAUGUGUGGUAAAUGAUACAUCUCCAAGAAGCAUCUCCAAGAAGCAUCUCCAAGACAUACAUACAGAAAUGUUGUAAUAUUUAUAGUCAGGAAAUGCUUCUUCUGAGAAUGCUUCUUCUGGUGUCUCAUUUAGCCACACUUUUGGAUUAAGGAGAA
This 168-nucleotide microRNA precursor is filed under the name Lotus japonicus. RNAcentral's name for it is "miR11130 stem-loop (lja-MIR11130)". The record is from miRBase by way of RNAcentral. Lineage: Eukaryota; Viridiplantae; Streptophyta; Magnoliopsida; Fabales; Fabaceae.